RNAcentral lists this ribosomal RNA (192 nucleotides) under uncultured bacterium. RNAcentral describes it as "partial 16S ribosomal RNA". It matches the Rfam family "Bacterial small subunit ribosomal RNA", at positions 340 to 523 of the family's 1533-position model. The record is from RNAcentral.
UACGGGAGGCAGCAGUAGGGAAUAUUGCGCAAUGGGGGCAACCCUGACGCAGCAAUGCCGCAUGAGUGAGGAAUGCCUUCGGGUUGUAAAGCUCUGUCAGUGGGGAAAAAUUGCCAUAUAGUUAAUAACUGUAUGGUUUGAUGGUACCCACAGAGGAAGCACCGGCUAACUUCGUGCCAGCAGCCGCGGUAA